Choloepus didactylus (southern two-toed sloth) is the source of this 290-nucleotide long non-coding RNA. RefSeq lists it as uncharacterized. The transcript is spliced from 3 exons. Lineage: Eukaryota; Metazoa; Chordata; Mammalia; Pilosa; Megalonychidae. The record is from RefSeq and is a predicted model, not a curated record.
CCCGGGGUGUGUCACAUGUAGGGGGGGUGGGUUCAGAUGGACAGAAGCAGGGGGAGUUCAGAAGGGGGACGGAGGGAAGACGGAGCCCCUGUGUCCCGGGGCACCUCUCCAGCCAUCCUAGCCCUGCAGAAACCAGGGGCUCACUGAGCUGCGACCGUCGAUCUCGAUCUCGGCAGCGACAGAGAAGGAGGAAGCCUGCCGCGAGCAGAGGGAGGAGAAGGGGAGGACCAGCAUGAGAAUGAAAUUCAGACACAGAGAGAGAAAACCACAGGAAGCAAGAAGCUGAGCAU